AAAAAGAUAAGCUAAGUAAGCUCAUGGGCUCAUACCCCAUUUAUGAGGUUUAAACCCUCUCUUUUUA
This 67-nucleotide transfer RNA is filed under the name Parapenaeopsis tenella. RNAcentral describes it as "tRNA-Met". It matches the Rfam family "tRNA". From Rfam's summary of the family: Transfer RNA (tRNA) molecules are approximately 80 nucleotides in length. Their secondary structure includes four short double-helical elements and three loops (D, anti-codon, and T loops). Lineage: Eukaryota; Metazoa; Arthropoda; Malacostraca; Decapoda; Penaeidae. The record is from RNAcentral.